RNAcentral lists this long non-coding RNA (1223 nucleotides) under Salmo salar (Atlantic salmon). RNAcentral's name for it is "lncRNA (ENSSSAG00000113528.1, ENSSSAG00020076987.1)". Lineage: Eukaryota; Metazoa; Chordata; Actinopteri; Salmoniformes; Salmonidae. The record is from RNAcentral.
CACUGCCAUUCCAAAAUGGCUGCUGUGGCUUCUGCUACCUAGCAUGAGGACGAAAAAGACAGUUAUCCAGAAAAAAAAGGAGUUGUUCAAUGUUAUUGGUGUAACAGUUGGGAUAAUUCGGAGUACAAUGUAUUUUUCAUUCCUGGAUUGAGGGCUAUCUUCUGUGUACCACCCCUACCUUGGCACAACACAACUGAUUAUCUCAAGAAGGAAAGAAAUUCCACAAAUGGUCUUUUAACAAGCCCGAGAUCCUGAAGAGGCAAUUGCCAGGUACAGAAAGGUGCUGAAACACGUUCAAAGAGGGAAAACCAUGACUGCUGCUUUCCUGAAGGAGGCUGUGGAUCACAACACUAUUGAGUUCAACUCUCCAGUUGCCUAACUGGCAAUCGCUGCGCCUGACCAACUGACCACUUCAAAGACUUAUGAAAAAUGUACACUCGCAAUUAAAAAUGCUGUGUUUUUGCAAGCAAGUGGAAUAAUGUAAUUGAGAGUGAUUUGCGUGAAGGGCAAAAUAAAGAUUUUGAAAAAAACAGGAGAAUUUCCCAUGAAGAAGGGCAAGUGAAAUGUUAGCAAGUGAAAUGUUGUUGAGAUUUUGUUAUUAUUGAGACGAUCUGUACAGGCUGAUUUUCUUCCAAGGUUUUCCUCAUCAAGAAAUGUGACAUACUGUACUUCAUUUUCUAGUUUGAAUACACCAGCCCUGGCUCUCUCUCUCUCUCUCACUCUCUUUUUCUCUCUCUCAUCUCCCUCAUGUUCUCUCUGUAAGUCACUCGGAAGAUCUCAAUUGCAUAUUCCUCACUUCCUCUCUUUUCAUCUCCUUCUCAAAACCCAUUGGAGGAGAAUGUCAGAGGAGGAGGCACUCUGGCUUUCUCAUCCAAUGGGUUUUGAAAAGGAGAGAGGAGAGAGAAUGCCAGGCGUAUGCAAUUCAGAUCUUCCCACUGUCCUUAAGGCCAGAUUGUAAACUGUUCAGUGGUUGGAAGAUCAGUGGAUGUUCAAAGCACCCAUUUUAGGUUAUCCCUUUUGAACAAACAGAUAAUGUGGGUCAGACCUGGUUUAAUAAGGAUCAGCGCUUUAAAAAAAAAUCUCACCUACAAUGACAUACCCAAAUCUAACUGCCUGUAGCUCAGGCCCUGAAGCAAGGAUAUGCAUAUUCUUGGUACCAUUUGAAAGGAAACACUUUGAACUUUGUGGAAAUGUGAAAGGAAUGUAGGAGAAUAUAAUAGAAU